UUUUUUUUUUUACUUUCAGUAGUUAAAAGGCUUUUUUUUUUUUUUUUUUUUGUAAAUAGCCUCAUGAACAUGCAAAGUGGCAGAAGCAUAUUUGGAAUCUUUGUAAAUAUUUGUCUUUUGGUCUUUUCCUAGCCAGGGAGUUCUUGUCAGAGCUAUCAGCUCUGAUUUCUAAGCAGAAGUUUCUGUAGGCAAAGACUGCACCUUUACUACUGAGUCCGAAGUCACCACUGCGUACCCAGCUUGGUGGACUCCCUUUAGUAUGAAAUUGCUUCCAUCAGUAGAGUAUUCAAUGUCUGAGUCCCCGAGGGGCCGAUCUGGUACAUCUCUCUGGCUUGAGAACACUUUAUCUACCAAGUCCACACAGCAAUGAAGGGGGCCUCUUGGCACUGACUUGAUGAGGAGCAGUGUAGCUUGGUUUAGGGUAUUUAGUCUCUAAAGUCAGUUUAUUAGCUUUUUCCACGACUGCAUUCACGCCCGCGUCCAUGCCUUCUUGCAAAGCUAGCUUCUCUUCCUGUAAGCGCUGCUGCUAGUAAAUUAGCCUUUCUUAAGCCUCUGAUCAGCCUCCUGAUCUCCGUUAAUGUACACCUUGGUAGCCACUUUAAUAAGCUGAGUAGCAUUCACGCCUGCGGAGCUUCCAACUUCUGUAAUUUAUGCCCGAUAUCUCCUUGGGCCUGCCUUACAAAUGUCGUAUUCACCAUGUGCUGAUUUUCAGCAGCCUCAGGGUUAAACGGAGUGUACAACCAAAAUGCCUUACGAAGUCUAUUAUAAAACUGACUGGUGCUUUUAUUU
RNAcentral lists this long non-coding RNA (789 nucleotides) under Homo sapiens (human). Its description in RNAcentral is "long non-coding RNA NONHSAT236249". Lineage: Eukaryota; Metazoa; Chordata; Mammalia; Primates; Hominidae. The record is from RNAcentral.